GCGUGAGUGAAGAAGGCCUUAGGGUUGUAAAGCUCUUUCACCCGCGACGAUGAUGACGGUAGCGGGAGAAGAAGCCCCGGCUAAUUCCGUGCCAGCAGCCGCGGUAAUACGGAAGGGGCUAGCGUUGUUCGGAAUCACUGGGCGUAAAGCGCGCGUAGGCGGCCGGUCAAGUGCGGCGUGAAAGUCCUGGGCUCAACCCGGGGACGGCGCUGCGGACUGUCCGGCUGGAGUCCGGAAGAGGGUGGUGGAAUUCCGAGUGUAGAGGUGAAAUUCGU
Molecule: ribosomal RNA, 275 nt
Filed under: uncultured bacterium
Lineage: Bacteria
Description: partial 16S ribosomal RNA
Rfam family: Bacterial small subunit ribosomal RNA
Source: RNAcentral